UACGUAGGGUCCGAGCGUUGUCCGGAAUUACUGGGCGUAAAGAGCUCGUAGGCGGCUUGUCAAGUCGACUGUGAAAACCCGCGGCUCAACCGCGGGCUUGCAGUCGAUACGGGCAGGCUAGAGUUUGGUAGGGGAGACUGGAAUUCCUGGUGUAGCGGUGAAAUGCGCAGAUAUCAGGAGGAACACCGGUGGCGAAGGCGGGUCUCUGGGCCAAUACUGACGCUGAGGAGCGAAAGCGUGGGGAGCGAACAGG
This 253-nucleotide ribosomal RNA is filed under the name uncultured bacterium. Its description in RNAcentral is "partial 16S ribosomal RNA". It matches the Rfam family "Bacterial small subunit ribosomal RNA", at positions 524 to 776 of the family's 1533-position model. The record is from RNAcentral.